CACGUAGGCGGACUAUUAAGUGAGGGGUGAAAUCCCAGGGCUCAACCCUGGAACUGCCUCUCAUACUGGUAGUCUUGAGUUCGAGAGAGGUGAGUGGAAUUCCGAGUGUAGAGGUGAAAUUCGUAGAUAUUCGGAGGAACACCAGUGGCGAAGGCGGCUCACUGGCUCGAUACUGACGCUGAGGUGCGAAAGUGUGGGGAGCAAACAGGAUUAGAUACCCUGGUAGUCC
This 229-nucleotide ribosomal RNA is filed under the name uncultured bacterium. RNAcentral describes it as "partial 16S ribosomal RNA". It matches the Rfam family "Bacterial small subunit ribosomal RNA", at positions 568 to 796 of the family's 1533-position model. The record is from RNAcentral.